CCUACGGGCGGCAGCAGUGAGGAAUAUUGGUCAAUGGACGAGAGUCUGAACCAGCCAAGUAGCGUGAAGGAUGACUGCCCUAUGGGUUGUAAACUUCUUUUAUAUGGGAAUAAAAUGUUCCACGUGUGGGAUUUUGUAUGUACCAUAUGAAUAAGGAUCGGCUAACUCCGUGCCAGCAGCCGCGGUAAUACGGAGGAUCCGAGCGUUAUCCGGAUUUAUUGGGUUUAAAGGGAGCGUAGGUGGAUUGUUAAGUCAGUUGUGAAAGUUUGCGGCUCAACCGUAAAAUUGCAGUUGAAACUGGCAGUCUUGAGUACAGUAGAGGUGGGCGGAAUUCGUGGUGUAGCGGUGAAAUGCUUAGAUAUCACGAAGAAAUCCGAUUGCGAAGGCAGUUCACUGGACUGCAACUGACACUGAGGCUCGAAAGUGUGGGUAUCAAACAGGAUUAGAUACCCCUGUAGUC
RNAcentral lists this ribosomal RNA (460 nucleotides) under uncultured bacterium. Its description in RNAcentral is "partial 16S ribosomal RNA". It matches the Rfam family "Bacterial small subunit ribosomal RNA", at positions 338 to 795 of the family's 1533-position model. The record is from RNAcentral.